GAUAGGCCGGAUAUCUCACCAAAGAAAUCGAUUUCUUGCUCAUUCUCGUACCCACUUUUCACGUCAUACACAUGCACAAAGUCAGCAGGCUCAGCCAUGGCCAUGUACUUACCAUCAGAUGUGUAGCGAAUGGACCGUAUUGCUCCAAGGUUUCCCUUUAGAACAGCAAUUGACUUUGACAAGUUUCGAACAUCCCAAAUUCGGCAUGUUUUGUCUUGGUUCCCGGUUGCAAAAGUGACACCAUCAGGAUGCCAUGCUGACGCAAAUGAAAAGUCCAAGUGUCCACGCAAGGGCAUAACAGUCUGCAAUUAAUUUCAGUAUCAGCUGAUGCUUUGCAAUCUCCAAAAAUGUAAACAAUAUUGCAAAAGCAGGAUGACAAGUACCUUCCCUGUAUCAGAGUCUACCAACAUAAUAUCAGGGUUGUCUCCAACUAUUAUUAGAAGUUUCCCAUCAGGGCUCAGAGAAGUAUGCUGCAAAAGCAACAUUAUAAGCAUAGCUUUUAAGUAUUUCUCACCAUUUGCCUUUAUUGGAUUAACAGAAUCAGAAUUAAUAAUACACAAAAUAACAUUAGUGUAUGUUUACAGAUCUGAAACAAUGAAAUCCCAAUGUAUGUAACUUACAUUGACAGGCCAAAGAAAAUGAAAAUGCUUGGAAAGCUGAUAUUUCUCCAUAUCAAAAUCUCUGACUCCACAGUCAUUAUUUGAGGCCGUAAAGUGAACUGCACCACUGGUAAUUCAGGAACAAAGCAAAUUAGGUUCAGGUUGACUGAGAUCAAUGUCAACAGCAGAUCAGGAAAUAAGAAAUACCUUGGAGUGACAUAAAUCUCAACAGCAUUUGUAAUGGCAUUGUCAUCAUAAGUUGUCCUGGAGCAGAAGCUUAUUCCAGGUCGAUCUAAAUGCUACAUUACAGAUCAAAAUCGACUAAUUAAGUCUUAAAUAACUGGCAUCAGGAAAACAGCAACCAAGAGCAAAGGGGAAAAGAGAAACUAUCCAAAUACAUUUUUUUACCUGUCAUUCACAAAGUUUUAAGCAGUAAGUAGUUCAAAACAAGACAAACAAGUAGAUAAGGUUUGGAACAGAAUGAGCACAAAAUCAUUAGCUCUAAAAUGCAUAAUAGAACCUUCUACUCAGAUCCAUCUUACAGGAUCACAGAUAUGUCCAACAAUAGAUUGUCUAUAACAGUUAAGAUAUAAAUGUUAGGCUCCAAGUGACUUGCAAAAACUGAAAAGUAGCUAUAUUGCAUGGAAAAGCAGCUCCGCAAUCACUGCACAAAGGCUUAUCCCUCUUUCUGACCUCUUUUUUCUCAAUGAAGGAUUGAAGGGAAAAAAGUUGCUCUCCUUACCUUGCAUAUUAGUUCACCCUGGAAUCCUCCAGCAACUAGCAGCUUAUCCUUUACUGCAAGAGUACUGACUUGGGUUUGCGUAAAACCUUCCAUCAGACUUCCAGGAUGUUUCUAAAAGGGAAAAACACGCAAAUCAAUCUGAGGAAACAAUAUGGGGGGAUAACAAGAAAAGAGAAGGAAGAAGACCAACAAGUCAGAUAAAGUGCCAAAUCACUGCCAGAACACAGACCUCAGAUGGUGCCACAUGCCCAGAAACAUUAAGAAUUUCACGCUUCUUGUGUGUCAAUGAAGACCAAUGCAUGACAGAAAAUUGUGACAUGAGAUAAACAUCAUGUUUUGAUGUAGCCCAUACCAGGUUCCUCAACUGCAUCACCACAAAUUGAUAUGUCUAUCACUAACAAUAAUGAUCACACCACAGUCAAGCAGUAAACGAGGAAAGGACUGGCCGUAAAACUACAAGAUAUGAGAAAGAACUUUAACAAGAAAAAUAUAAAUCCUUCUAUGACAACUUUAACAAGAAAAAGAUAAAUCCUUCUAUGACAUCACAGGUCUUGAAUGAAAAUUCCCAUUCAGCUAACCUGAAAAUGAAGUAUUGUUGAUUUCACAGAUCUUGAAUUUAGCCUGAAGUCAUAGUAUGAGGCACCCUUCUUGGUAAUCUUGCAAUCCUACAUACAAUUUGAAAUUUCAAUUUAACAUAUUUUAGAAGGAAAGCGGGCAACUUUUAAGUACUCUUACCUUCCCUGACACUUCCCCAGAGUGGGGGAUAUUCUCAUAGUUCUUGUACUGUUCUAGCCUAGUUUGCCUGUAUUUUUCCCUAGUGAUGCUGAGCUGAUCCCAAGGUAUUCCCUGGAUGUCUUUUCCUCUUCUAGCUUCAGCAGCAGAAGUAUCAGAUAUUUUAUUAUUCUGCAAUACCGUCAACUUAUGUUAGGCUGGCUAGCAAUCCAUGAGAACUAGAACAGAAACUUUAAAUCUCAAAAAUUACACAUUAACUUCAAUCUAAUGUGCAAUUUGAUACAUAAACUUUGAUUUGAUGCAAUCAUACACAUGAAACUUUAAUUGUAGUUCAAAUGUAUACUUAAAACUUUGAUUUUGAUUCAACUGUACGCAUUUUAAAAAAUAAUUAUAUCAAUUUUAUUUAUUUAUUAGAUAAAGAUAAUUAUUUAUAUAUGCAAUAUAUAAUUGAAAGGUAGCUCUUUAUUUAUAAUUGUGUUAAUGAUUUGUGAAAAUUGAAUCAAAUGAAAAUUUCAAGUAUAAAAUUGCACAAAAUCAAAUUUUAUGUAUAACAUUGCACAUUUGUUCAAAGUUGAUGUAUAGUUUUGAGAUUUAUCCCAAUUUUUAAAAAUAAAAAAAACCCUUAUUUUACGUUUUCCUAAGUUAUGAAUGAAUUUAAUUUAAGUCCAAUUUGCAUCUUGUAAAUCAUCAAACAAACCGAGUAAUCAAAUUCAUCAACAUCAGACUCCGAGCCAGACAUAUCUCUGCCGCAGAACUCUUCAUCCAUGUCAUCUAUGUCCUCCAUGUCAUACUCUUCUGCCAUGUAUUCAGCAUCAUCUUCUUGGUAAUAGGACAUAUUCCACCAGACAAAACUACACCUGCACCAAUAUAGCUUCAAGCAUUAUGGUAACCCAACAAUUAUAAAAUAAAUACCCGUAGAGAAUCACACAACAUUUAAUUGGAAGAUACUCUUCCCAUUGAUUUCUAAGGAGUAAACUCUGUGCUACGUACACUGGUGAAGAGAUGAUCAAAAUUGAUCAGAUGACGACAUUUAAAAUCAUAGGAAAAAGCAACAUGGCAUGUACUGCCGCAACAACUGAUACAAGUUACAAUAUAAAAAAUGAUAUGUUUAAGACAAUAAAAUGGAUUAACAUUAAUUAUAAUUAAAUUAUCCAACAGUCUAAUUUAAGGAUAUCGUACAAGUGGUAGUAAAGGAUACUAAAACCUCAUUCUAGUCACAUUACAAAGAAAAUUAAACCUACUCUUAUACAUAGGAAUCCAGCUAAAGGAAAAAGAAAGGGAGAUGGAAACAAAUAUCUAAAAUAACAUGCCCAUAGAAUCACAAAUCCUUUAUAUUACUAACAGUUUUAUGCCAAUUCUCAACAUGUUCGAAAUACUUCCAUCAGCAUAUAGAUAAACUAAUUAAAGACUGAGAGUGCACAAGUCAAUGCCGCCAUAUGUAAUUUCGAGAAAUUAACUACAUUUUGAAGUUAUUUUUGCAACAUUUUCAAUUCAAUUAUGCCAUAAUCAUGUUAAGACAUAUAAGAGAUUUGCGUUUUUAUUCAAGCAUGAAAUAUCCGAAAAGCAAGAGUAAAACAACUUUGUCUCUAGAUUUGGGAGCUUUUUUUUUUUUCUUUCUAUUUUACAUUCCCAUUUGCGGAAUUAUUCAUCCUACUGGAUGUUGGGGGCCUAACAGAAAAGCCAAGUCUUCAUCAAAUUUAUAUACAUGAGAAUUAUGUGUCCAUGAAUGAAACACGCAAUUACCGGUAAAAAGAGGAAAAAAUGGCACAAAGAAGAACUGGGCUAGUAUGAACCCUAAUUGAAAUUCCAACCAAAAAUUAAUGUCCCGGAUCAUAACAAUCAUGCAACAACAGCAGGGAACAAUCAAUUGAGAAUAAUAAGUGUUAUCCAUAAACAAAAAAAUAAUUAAUUUCAAAGAAAGGGGGCAAACUCCAAAAUUGUUAUAGGAAAGUAAUUAACAUCCGCACGCACCUAUGAAGCGAUAAACAGAAAUGAUCACAUAAAGAAAACUGACUCGAGAUCGAAGAAUGCAAAAGCGAACAAGAAAAUAAAAAAUAAAAAGCGAGAGAAUUGACCAUGUAAGAGAUUCUUACGGGAAGGUGAUUACCGACGAUCUGCAGAUCAAAAUAUCUGUACUCAUAUAAAAGUAAUUACUAGGGCCUUCUUACAUUACACAAAUCCUUUUCGAUUUUUCUUACAUGAGAAGAUAAUGGUUAAAUUUCAGUUUCAAUCCUUUUAUUUUUACAUUUUUGAGAUAAUAUAAAAAUAGUAUAUUUUCGCUUAAAUUUGAAAUUUAAUUUCUAUACGUUAAUUUUGACUUAGUUUACUACCUCCAUUAGAUAGUCUAAAUGCUUUAUAUAUUCCAAAUGGACCUAAAUUUUUAAAUUCAAAAAGUAAAGAGAUUAAAUUCCUAAAAAUAGAAGUAUGGAGAUUAAAUUCUAAAUAUAUAAAGAGUAAAAGAACUUUGAGUUUAUUGUAACCUUUAAAUUUUUUACAUUAUAAUUUAAUCAAAAAAUAAUAAUUAAUCCAAUAUGGAGCAUGAGUGAAACCAUACUAGUUAACAUCAAAAUUACAUUUAUAUAUAUAUACACUUAACUAUACACCAACUCUGUUGAAAUUAACUAAAGUGAUUUCUUUUUUACAAAGUAAUAAAUCUAUACUUAGGAAUGACAACGGAGCGGGGCAAGUAGAUAUUGUUAAAUCCACUCUACUCCAUCACUCACCCCGCUUUACUAUAUAUUUAUAAUCUUGAAAACAUUACUAUAUCUAUGAAUGUUGGAUGCUUUCAUCCCCGUCCCACUUCAAUUUAAUUAUUGCUACUUUUAUUUAAUAUUUUUAAUCAUUUUAAGUUAAUUGUAAUGAUCCGAAAGUUAGGGGUAACGAAAAGUAUGGUUUCGGGACAUCAUUUCCGUAAAUCAGACUUGUAAAUAUUUUUAUUAAAUAUUUAUGGAGUUAUAUAAGAGGCGAAUCAAAUUUCAGUUAAGAAAUUUUAUCGAAUUAGCGCUUCAAAUAAAUAUAAGGACUAAAUUGCUUAAGUGUUAGAAGUUGAACUAUAAUGAAAUUAAGAAUUAAAUUAUGAUUGGGGGACUUAUUAAGUGAAUAAACCAUAAUUAUAUGUAUAGAUUUGUGUGGCCGAUAUAUAUGUAUUUUAUUUUUAAAAGCUUUAGUCAAAUUACGGUUUAAUUUAUAAAAUGAAAACAAAAUGAAAUUAAAAAGAAAUUGAUAAAAGCUUGUUGGAUUGAAAGAGAAAAUGUUCUUUCUCUUUUCACAUGCAAAUUUCGAAACCCCUUGGGAAGAAAGAAACUACGAACGGCUAAGGAAUUCAUUAUUCAAGCUCAAAAAUUGGUAUGCUAAAUUUAGUCAUUUCCUUGUAAUUUUUAUAUUUUCGAAAUCUCGGUACUUCGAGCUAGCUGACCUAUAUACUAUUUUUCAGUGCUACUUAAGAUUUUAGAUAUUAUCAUUAUUGAGUAGUUAAAGCUUUAGGGAUUAAUUUGAUAGAUUUUUAAGGUUAGAAGUGAAAAAGGACUAAAUUGUGAAGUUAAUUGUUGAUUUUAAAUAAUAGGGACCAAAUUAUGAAAAUUCAAAAUUAUGGGGUAGAAUUGAGAAAUAGGGAGCUAAAUUUGGAUUAGAGUGAAAUUGGUAUAAAAAUUUGAGGUUAAAUGUGGAAGUUAAGUUAGUUUCAGUUUUAGGGACUAAAUCAAACUUUAUGCAAAAAUAGUACAAAUUUUGUAAUUGAAUGUGAAUUAGGUUUUGUAUUGUUAAUUUAUUUUAAUCAUUUCAAUCCUUGGCUAACAUUGUUCCGGAAUCCUCGAAAAAGAAAGGAAAAGAUAAAGUCAACAACGAAUAGCUUGGAAUUUACGAUUUGUGUUUCUGUAAUCUAAACUAUUUAAAAACGUUACUUUUAUACAUUGUAUUAUUCGGUAAGUAUAUAUAUAAGAUGAGUUAUUCCUUUGAAAUAAUUUCAUGAGAUGUGAAUUUUGUGACACCCCAAACCUGACCAGAACGGAUCGACCUGAAUCUGAAGCGAUACAUUAGCCACCAAAGUGACUCUCCAGCACAAAACCACCCCAAAAGACACUCCAGCCUUAUAACACCUCAAUUCUAACUAAUAACUGUCUAAUCUUAUUUCGGAGGUGAUUUGUGAACCAUUUUAAAACUAUUUGUAAGAAUUUAACCUUAAGGGUAUUUUAGUCAUUUUACCACUUAAAACUAAACAAUCCCAUUUUAUUUUAUUUUAUUUUGUGAAAAGAAGCCUAACAAAAUUAAAUUUGCAUGAAAUAUUCGAGAGGUACAAAAAUUCCUCUCUUUAUCUGAAUUAAGGAGAUCUAACACUGCAUCUAGAGGGGUCUCAACCAGUUGUAAAUCAUCUUUCCUUUCAAAGGCCAAUUUGGCAAGAUAGUCAGCACAUUGAUUCUCCUCCCUGGGGAUAUAUCUUAAAAUCUACUGACUUUCUUAGGACAAAAUACAGUGUAUUCUUCUGAUCAGGGUAGAGUUUGAGAUCUUCGAAAUAUUGCCAUGAAUAGCUUUGACUACCUCUAAGCUAUCAAAAUGAAUAACCACAUUGCUAAGACCCCUACGUUGGAUAAGUUUUAAGCCAUCUAAAAUGCCCCAAAUUUUAGCGCAAAAAAUCGAGCAAUUCCCUAGCAAUCUAUUAUAACCAAUCAUCCAAUCACCAGUACCGUCCCCAUGCCACCCCUCCAGUAACUGCUCUUCUUGAUGUUACUUGAACAGCACCAUCGUAUUAAGAAAGGUCCAAUCCCUGGGUAAAGGCUCCUCAUGAGGUAAACAUAUGUUAUCAGUCGAACCAUCUCUAGGAGCCAAAGAAGAUUAUUUGGCCCAACACAUAGAAACUAUAAUGAUCUCACUAGAGUUCCAGGAUUUCCUUUGAAAGAUGAAAAGAUUUUGAUUCUUCCAUAAGCGCCAAGCUAAUAAUUCGAAGAGACAAGCCCGACUAAUUGAGAUAUUCUGAGCCGUUACUACAAAUCAAUCCUAUAAGUUUGUACGAUUAUUUAUACUUCUAACAAUUUUUAUAUUCUAUGUUGAUAUAAUUUUACUAAAUAUGAUUUUGUGUAAUAGCAUGAUCUUGAAAAAAAUGAGAUACUGAUUCUAUUGGAAGUAUGCUCAAUCUAACCAUACCCACUGGUUUUAUUGAAAGUAUGCUCAAUCGAGUCAUACCCAUUAAUUCUACUGAAAGUAUACUCAAACGAGCAAUAUCUAUUGAAUAUACUGAAUGUGAGAUUUUAAUAAAUGAAAAAAUUAGUGAUUAAAUCCCUUAUGCAAAAAUUCACUGUUAGCAUGGAAAUUAACCAAUCACUAUUGUCGCCUAUUUGUUAAUUUAGAUAAUUGGAUUUUUGCACGUUUAUUUUCUUAUUAGGAAUUGUAAGAAAUCAUUUCUUUACCAUUGUCGUAAUAAAUAGUUGCCUUAGUUGCUUAAUAGUUUUUCCCUUGCACGUCAUUUUGGUUCUUAGCAUUUUGAUUACUUUAUCUCCCUCGGGUUCGACGUUCGCUUGUUGACGGUCAAAUACCGAAGCAUUUUCCUACAAUCUUCCUUGUGUGCCUUUAUCAUCUCGUCAGUGUUUUCCUUGUGGUAUCUUCUCUCUCUCUCUCUCUCUCUCUCUCUCUCUCUCAAGUGCCUUUAACCUUGUGUGUGUGCUUUGGCAUUGACUAUCUUAAGUGCCUUUAUCCAUUAAGUGUUAUCCUUACGUUAUCUUCUGUCAAGUGCCUUUAACCUUGUGUGUGGUUUUUGGCAUUGACUAUAUCUUUUAUUAUUGCUCCUUGUUAAACUUCUCUCUCAAGUGCCUUUAAUCUUGUGUGUCUUUGGGUAUUGACUAUAUCCUUUUAUCAUUGUUGGUCGAGCUUAUUGUCCGGCAUCUAAGGCCGUAUGAAUAGCCGAGCUAAAGCUUCAACCCAUGACAACAGCUCGACACAUGACAGGUUGAGGUAAAUAAAAAUACUUCCUUUAAUUAUAUCACUAUUUUUUAUAAUAUUAGGGUAUACUAGUAUACGAAUCUUAGUUGAGUCAAAUCCACCGUUCAUAAAUUCAAUUUUAAAACCUGUAGUGUGUAGCUCCCCACCCAAGGAAACCAUACACGUCUUCCACUUUUGUUCAACUUAAGAACCUUAUCUAAUUCUACCCUUUCUCCCAUUAACAUCUUAUAUCAUCAGAAAACUAAAUUCUAAUUCAACAGCAAUCACCUAAAGUUACAGAUUUCAUUUCAUUUUACAUUUUACAUCUACAGUAAACCCUCUUCUACAACUUGAAAUGACACAAGUUCCUCAAAUAUCAUAAACUUAACCAACAUGCUUGUUUUGCCUGCAUCACGAUCAACUCACAUUAGGGAAUCAAGAUAUAAGUAGUUCCUCCGCCGGCCAUACUCAAGAAGGCUGCCAUAUGUACGAUCCCAUACGCCAAUAAAGAGAGACUCUGUGUCGGGACUAAAGGAUAGGCCGGAUAUCUCACCAAAGAAAUCGAUUUCUUGUUCAUUCUCGUACCCACUUUUCACGUCAUACACAUGCACAAAGUCAGCAGGCUCAGCCAUGGCCAUGUACUUACCAUCAGAUGUGUAGCGAAUGGACCGUAUUGCUCCAAGGUUCCCCUUGAGAACAGCAACUGACCUUGACAAGUUUCGAACAUCCCAAAUUCGGCAUGUUUUGUCUUGGUUCCCAGUUGCAAAAGUGACACCAUCAGGAUGCCAUGCCGACGCAAAUGAGAAGUCUAAGUGUCCAUGCAAGGGCAUA
This 8811-nucleotide long non-coding RNA is filed under the name Gossypium barbadense (sea-island cotton). RNAcentral's name for it is "long non-coding RNA (GBAR_LNC002796)". Lineage: Eukaryota; Viridiplantae; Streptophyta; Magnoliopsida; Malvales; Malvaceae. The record is from RNAcentral.